This is a long non-coding RNA of Equus caballus (horse), 1782 nucleotides long. NCBI's taxonomy places the organism in Eukaryota, Metazoa, Chordata, Mammalia, Perissodactyla, Equidae. The record is from Ensembl.
GUCCAGUUGGCAGUGUUCCUAACGCAGCUCAGGUCAUGGCAACAGCCCUACCAAGUUGGCUGGUAGUGACCACAGUUAAGUUUUGGGCUAGGAAAGAGAAAUAUUUGGCUAGUCAAUUAAAACCGAGAAAGCUGGUUAACUCUGAAGGCCUCAGCUCAUCCAACUGAGAGCAGAUUAGCCCAGAUGGAGACAUUUUCAACACGGUGCUGUCUGGCCAAUCAGAGACAGCUGGGAUUAGCCAAAUACCUUCUCUCAUCUGCUUGCUCACAGAAAGGCCAACAUAUUCAAAGUCCAAAUAAUGUAUUUCUUCAAAAGUGACCAUUCUGGCUAAUAUGAUCCACUCUUACCUGGCGCCCACGAAUUGGCCUUCUCUCUUCACCUCCACUCUGGAUUUCGACCUGAAGUUUGACCUCCAUGGGUCUUCAGUUUAAAGGGCAAGCCCUAGGAAAUGCAGAAAGAGUUCAGAUAAUUGUGGGCCUUCUUUGGUUCUUUUUGCCCUAUGAGUUCCUGCUCCUGCUUUCAGUUUUGGACUGGAGCAACCAGCUGGCGCUCUACCAGUAUCUGGGAGCUGUAUUAUGAAAGCCAAGCUUUGGGGAUGAUAAAGCAAAAAGGCCCCUGAUAGUACCAUGGAACUCCCUGACCAGCAAUGAAGGGGCUCCUUCCAGACUCCUUUAGCACAACAGAAAAAUAAACUUCUAUCUUAUUUAAACUACUGCCAUUUCCUGUCUCUGAUACUAGUAGCUCAACAUACUUUUUCUAAGUGAUUCAGACCAUUAUAAAUUUCUGUUGCCGGUAAUUGGACAUAUGUAGCAGACAAACUAAUCCCAUUAAGACUAGUGUGUUAUUUUUUACCCCACAAUUGAAGACUCUUUUUGAUUGGCUUAAAUCAGUGGUUCUCCACUGAGGGUGGUUUUCUCCCCCUCCCCCCAGGAUAUCUGACAACAUCUGGAGACACUUUGGUGGUCACAGCUGGGGGAGGGGGGGCUUGUACUGGCAUCUAGUGGGUAGAGGCCAGACAUGCUGCUAUUGUCUUAUGGUGCACAGGACGCAGCCCUGCAACAAAAAAUUAUCCAGACCAAAAUAUUAAUGGUGCCAAGGUUAAGAAGCCCUGGGUUAAAUCUUUAUUAAUUAAGUUGCUUACGCAGCCCACCUAACCAUUAACUGUUGAUUAAUGUUUUUUUUUUUGUAAUGUGAGCCUACUUUUUGACUUUGCCUACACAGAAAAUGGUCAUUUUUCCUUACAUCAUAAGGUAAAGUUUAUUAAAUAAAGGUGUGUUUUACUUUUGUGACUAGAUGGCGGAAGUGGGUAAUGAACCAGGUAUCGGCCCGAUGAAUUCUCCUACAGAAAAGUAGAAUAAUACGAAGAAACACAAGAAAGCACCAAGUAAUGAAAAGGCUCAUUGUUACAGACACAACCGUUAAGACAAUGAUGCUGGAGAGUGAAAUAAAGAUGGUGAUGCAGCUCAGUGAACGUUUGAUUGGAAAUGAAGCUGUAGUUGAAUUGGGAAUUGAGACACUGGAAUAAGAUUCCUACUAUGGGAAAGCUGGAACCAAAGGCGGAGGGGCGCUAAUGUCAAGGAAUGUGCCUGUGAUAUUCCUGCUGAGAGAGCCUGCUUCUCAGGGAGCCUGAACCUUUCUCGAGUGAGAAUUCGAAUGCUGCAGGAGCUGGAGUUUGAAGGAAAGGGUGACAAAUGUAAGGACAGAGAGCCACCGAUUAGUCACCGAGGUCUCAAUUGCAUCACUUAUGGCCCUGAAUAUCCUAACAUCUGCAACUUGUUUUGU